Molecule: ribosomal RNA, 2929 nt
Filed under: Salmonella enterica
Lineage: Bacteria; Pseudomonadati; Pseudomonadota; Gammaproteobacteria; Enterobacterales; Enterobacteriaceae
Description: bacterial LSU rRNA
Rfam family: Bacterial large subunit ribosomal RNA
Source: RNAcentral
GGGUUGUGAGGUUAAGCGACUAAGCGUACACGGUGGAUGCCCUGGCAGUCAGAGGCGAUGAAGGGCGUGCUAAUCUGCGAUAAGCGCCGGUAAGGUGAUAUGAACCGUUAUAACCGGCGAUACCCGAAUGGGGAAACCCAGUGUGAUUCGUCACACUAUCAUUAACUGAAUCCAUAGGUUAAUGAGGCGAACCGGGGGAACUGAAACAUCUAAGUACCCCGAGGAAAAGAAAUCAACCGAGAUUCCCCCAGUAGCGGCGAGCGAACGGGGAGGAGCCCAGAGCCUGAAUCAGCAUGUGUGUUAGUGGAAGCGUCUGGAAAGGCGCGCGAUACAGGGUGACAGCCCCGUACACAAAAGCGCAUGUGCUGUGAGCUCGAUGAGUAGGGCGGGACACGUGGUAUCCUGUCUGAAUAUGGGGGGACCAUCCUCCAAGGCUAAAUACUCCUGACUGACCGAUAGUGAACCAGUACCGUGAGGGAAAGGCGAAAAGAACCCCGGCGAGGGGAGUGAAAAAGAACCUGAAACCGUGUACGUACAAGCAGUGGGAGCACAGGUUUACCUGUGUGACUGCGUACCUUUUGUAUAAUGGGUCAGCGACUUAUAUUCUGUAGCAAGGUUAACCGUAUAGGGGAGCCGUAGGGAAACCGAGUCUUAACCGGGCGUUAAGUUGCAGGGUAUAGACCCGAAACCCGGUGAUCUAGCCAUGGGCAGGUUGAAGGUUGGGUAACACUAACUGGAGGACCGAACCGACUAAUGUUGAAAAAUUAGCGGAUGACCUGUGGCUGGGGGUGAAAGGCCAAUCAAACCGGGAGAUAGCUGGUUCUCCCCGAAAGCUAUUUAGGUAGCGCCUCGUGAAUUCAUCUCCGGGGGUAGAGCACUGUUUCGGCUAGGGGGCCAUCCCGGCUUACCAACCCGAUGCAAACUGCGAAUACCGGAGAAUGUUAUCACGGGAGACACACGGCGGGUGCUAACGUCCGUCGUGAAGAGGGAAACAACCCAGACCGCCAGCUAAGGUCCCAAAGUCAUGGUUAAGUGGGAAACGAUGUGGGAAGGCCCAGACAGCCAGGAUGUUGGCUUAGAAGCAGCCAUCAUUUAAAGAAAGCGUAAUAGCUCACUGGUCGAGUCGGCCUGCGCGGAAGAUGUAACGGGGCUAAACCAUGCACCGAAGCUGCGGCAGCGACGCUUAUGCGUUGUUGGGUAGGGGAGCGUUCUGUAAGCCUGUGAAGGUGGCCUGUGAGGGUUGCUGGAGGUAUCAGAAGUGCGAAUGCUGACAUAAGUAACGAUAAAGCGGGUGAAAAGCCCGCUCGCCGGAAGACCAAGGGUUCCUGUCCAACGUUAAUCGGGGCAGGGUGAGUCGACCCCUAAGGCGAGGCCGAAAGGCGUAGUCGAUGGGAAACGGGUUAAUAUUCCCGUACUUGGUGUUACUGCGAAGGGGGGACGGAGAAGGCUAUGUUGGCCGGGCGACGGUUGUCCCGGUUUAAGCGUGUAGGUGUGUGUUCCAGGUAAAUCCGGUUCACUUUAACACUGAGGCGUGAUGACGAGGCACUACGGUGCUGAAGCAACAAAUGCCCUGCUUCCAGGAAAAGCCUCUAAGCAUCAGGUAACACGAAAUCGUACCCCAAACCGACACAGGUGGUCAGGUAGAGAAUACCAAGGCGCUUGAGAGAACUCGGGUGAAGGAACUAGGCAAAAUGGUGCCGUAACUUCGGGAGAAGGCACGCUGACACGUAGGUGAAGUGAUUUACUCAUGGAGCUGAAGUCAGUCGAAGAUACCAGCUGGCUGCAACUGUUUAUUAAAAACACAGCACUGUGCAAACACGAAAGUGGACGUAUACGGUGUGACGCCUGCCCGGUGCCGGAAGGUUAAUUGAUGGGGUCAGCGCAAGCGAAGCUCCUGAUCGAAGCCCCGGUAAACGGCGGCCGUAACUAUAACGGUCCUAAGGUAGCGAAAUUCCUUGUCGGGUAAGUUCCGACCUGCACGAAUGGCGUAAUGAUGGCCAGGCUGUCUCCACCCGAGACUCAGUGAAAUUGAACUCGCUGUGAAGAUGCAGUGUACCCGCGGCAAGACGGAAAGACCCCGUGAACCUUUACUAUAGCUUGACACUGAACAUUGAGCCUUGAUGUGUAGGAUAGGUGGGAGGCUUUGAAGCGUGGACGCCAGUCUGCGUGGAGCCGACCUUGAAAUACCACCCUUUAAUGUUUGAUGUUCUAACGUGGACCCGUAAUCCGGGUUGCGGACAGUGUCUGGUGGGUAGUUUGACUGGGGCGGUCUCCUCCUAAAGAGUAACGGAGGAGCACGAAGGUUGGCUAAUCCUGGUCGGACAUCAGGAGGUUAGUGCAAUGGCAUAAGCCAGCUUGACUGCGAGCGUGACGGCGCGAGCAGGUGCGAAAGCAGGUCAUAGUGAUCCGGUGGUUCUGAAUGGAAGGGCCAUCGCUCAACGGAUAAAAGGUACUCCGGGGAUAACAGGCUGAUACCGCCCAAGAGUUCAUAUCGACGGCGGUGUUUGGCACCUCGAUGUCGGCUCAUCACAUCCUGGGGCUGAAGUAGGUCCCAAGGGUAUGGCUGUUCGCCAUUUAAAGUGGUACGCGAGCUGGGUUUAGAACGUCGUGAGACAGUUCGGUCCCUAUCUGCCGUGGGCGCUGGAGAACUGAGGGGGGCUGCUCCUAGUACGAGAGGACCGGAGUGGACGCAUCACUGGUGUUCGGGUUGUCAUGCCAAUGGCACUGCCCGGUAGCUAAAUGCGGAAGAGAUAAGUGCUGAAAGCAUCUAAGCACGAAACUUGCCCCGAGAUGAGUUCUCCCUGAGACUUAGAGUCUCCUGAAGGAACGUUGAAGACGACGACGUUGAUAGGCCGGGUGUGUAAGCGCAGCGAUGCGUUGAGCUAACCGGUACUAAUGAACCGUGAGGCUUAACCUUACAACGCCGAAG